UAGGGAAUCUUCGGCAAUGGGGGCAACCCUGACCGAGCAACGCCGCGUGAGUGAAGAAGGUUUUCGGAUCGUAAAGCUCUGUUGUAAGAGAAGAACGAGUGUGAGAGUGGAAAGUUCACACUGUGACGGUAACUUACCAGAAAGGGACGGCUAACUACGUGCCAGCAGCCGCGGUAAUACGUAGGUCCCGAGCGUUAUCCGGAUUUAUUGGGCGUAAAGCGAGCGCAGGCGGUUAGAUAAGUCUGAAGUUAAAGGCUGUGGCUUAACCAUAGUACGCUUUGGAAACUGUUUAACUUGAGUGCAGAAGGGGAGAGUGGAAUUCCAUGUGUAGCGGUGAAAUGCGUAGAUAUAUGGAGGAACACCGGUGGCGAAAGCGGCUCUCUGGCCUGUAACUGACGCUGAGGCUCGAAAGCGUGGGGAGCAAACAGGAUUAGAUACCCUGGUAGUCCACGCCGUAAACGAUGAGUGCUAGGUGUUGGGUCCUUUCCGGGACUCAGUGCCGCAGCUAACGCAUUAAGCACUCCGCCUGGGGAGUACGACCGCAAGGUUG
RNAcentral lists this ribosomal RNA (550 nucleotides) under uncultured bacterium. Its description in RNAcentral is "bacterial SSU rRNA". It matches the Rfam family "Bacterial small subunit ribosomal RNA", at positions 355 to 896 of the family's 1533-position model. The record is from RNAcentral.